This is a long non-coding RNA of Salvia miltiorrhiza (redroot sage), 878 nucleotides long. RefSeq lists it as uncharacterized. Lineage: Eukaryota; Viridiplantae; Streptophyta; Magnoliopsida; Lamiales; Lamiaceae. The record is from RefSeq and is a predicted model, not a curated record. The transcript has 3 exons.
UACCUCCGAUGUGUGACACGUGUCUAUCUUUAAUUUAUGAAUUUAUCUUUUUCUUUUGCAGAGAUGAGUUAACAGAGUUAACUCCUUCCGUCAAGCACUCAUUACAUUCUUGGGAAGUGGUGUAUCAUGGCAUCAGAAUUCGGCAAUUUUAUUUGCCAAAUGUUUCGGCAACACUGACAUAUGUAUAAUUUCGGCGCCAAUGUUCAAAUUUCAAUUUUUUGGGGGUCAAAACAAGACUUUUGGAAUACUUUUCUCCAUUUCCUUCCCUACGAAUUAUCAGAUUCAUUACAAGAAAAAUAAUCGGACAUUGUCGGAAAUUUUUAUGGAGCCACGGCCAUAGGAGAUUGCCGGCGGAAGGCCGACCGACGGACGUCGGCAGUCUUAUACUGAAAUGUCAGACGCAACCAACGACGAUUGUAAAAAACCCCCCACCGACGCACUCCACCGCUGUCACUGCUCUUCUUCACCACCACACCGCCUAGUGUCAAUUCUCAUCUCUCUAUUGUUAAUUUUCUAUUUGCUCUUUUUCUCUCACUCACUCUUAAUUUCUCAUCUCUCUCAUAGUUACCACCGCAUUCCACCACCGCCGCCACAGCACCUUUGACGGUGAAGUCUCUCAUUAGCCGGCACCCACUCGCCGUCGUCGUCCCUGACUCGACUGUAGGUGAAUGUAUUCCUAGAUGGUACAGGUGAAUGUAUUCCAGUUUCUGAAGCUGAGCUACCUCUUACCCUACCUGAGUUGGAUGAUUUUACUCCAAGUGGGACUGGGGAGCCACCAUUGACGAAGGCCCUUUCUUGGGUACAAACAGUUGACCAAUCUCUGGAAAAUCAGCUCAGCGGGAGACUAACACUAUGCCCCAAUGGGCUGGUUCUUGCUG